RNAcentral lists this ribosomal RNA (492 nucleotides) under uncultured bacterium. RNAcentral's name for it is "partial 16S ribosomal RNA". It matches the Rfam family "Bacterial small subunit ribosomal RNA", at positions 29 to 507 of the family's 1533-position model. The record is from RNAcentral.
AGUGAACGCUGGCGGUAGGCCUAACACAUGCAAGUCGAACGGCAGCACAGUAAGAGCUUGCUCUUACGGGUGGCGAGUGGCGGACGGGUGAGGAAUACAUCGGAAUCUACUUUUUCGUGGGGGAUAACGUAGGGAAACUUACGCUAAUACCGCAUACGACCUACGGUUGAAAGCAGGGGAUCUUCGGACCUUGCGCGAUUGAAUGAGCCGAUGUCGGAUUAGCUAGUUGGCGGGGUAAAUGCCCACCCAGGCGCCGAUCCGUAGCUGGUCUGAGAGGAUGGUCAGCCACACUGGAAGUGGAACACCGUCCAGAGUCCUACGGGAGGCAGCAGUGGGGAAUAUUGGACAAUGGGCGCAAGCCUGAUCCAACCAUACCGCGUGGGUGAAGGAGGCCUUCGGGGUGUAAAGCCCUUUUUUUGGGAAAGAAAAGCAGCAGGUUAAUACCCCGCGGGUCUGACGGUUACCAAAGAAUAAGCACCGGCUAACUUCGUG